Molecule: long non-coding RNA, 2746 nt
Organism: Globicephala melas (long-finned pilot whale)
Lineage: Eukaryota; Metazoa; Chordata; Mammalia; Artiodactyla; Delphinidae
Source: RefSeq, a predicted model, not a curated record
GGGAGCGCGUGCGUGGUGGAGCGCGCGCGCCCCCGCCCCCUCCACCGUUUGGGGGUGGGGAGUGGCGGGGAGAGAGAGAGAAGACCGAACCGUUUUCUCCGCGGAGAGGUUUGGCCCUGGCUCUGCCUCUCUGUGAGACUUUAUAAAAUUUUAAGACUCUGGAUGAUGGUACUCUCCUCCAAAGAAGAAUUCACCUUCUGGCAGUGAGAUACACUUCAGGCAUAUCGCCUUUAUCCAGUCCUUGAUCUGAAGUAUUAAGAGCUCCAAUAUUCAGCUUGCUAAAUUCUCCUAACUUUCACUUCGUGGAAAAGUCCAAAUCAAGGAUGACAACUAGAUUUCCUCUGUCAUGCCAACUCUAACCCGUUGAUCAUGACUACUGCGAGCACCGUGUUGAGAAGCUUUGGAGGGGGCGCGGCAUCUGGGCCCCAGGGGCAUUGCGUGGUGCUAGAUGAGUCUGUUCACCACAGGGCUCUGAGGGUGCCCUGUUUUAAAUCGCCUAUCUGUCAUCCUGGAGCCCAGACGUGCUGCCUGCCUUGCCCUCAGCUGCCUGAUGUCCCAGCCCGCCUGGACUCUUUCUUAGCCACUGCUCUGAUGUCCACAUACUUGGAGUGCUUCCGGUCCUCCUGGUAAACCUCGAGAUAUCCCGUCUCCAGCCAGUCACAGCCCUGGGGUGACUGUGGAUCUGGCUUCUGCUACCUGUUCAGAAAUGAGGUACCUGUGUGCUACCUGCUGGGGGAGCUGAGUUCAUGUGUGUCUGGUAAACAUCCUUCUUCCGCCUUUCCUGGUUGUCACUGCUUCCAGAAACGCUAUGGGACAGAUUAGGUAAGAAGUGCUACCAGCGAAAGACCGGCCAGAAAUGAAGAUGAAGCAUCUCUGAAAUGGUCAAGGAGGUUGCUAGGAGUAUUGACUCGAUUUACAAAACUUCUGUUUACAAAACUUCUGUUUACUCACGACUUUCCCGGUAGGAGAAAGGCAGGAUGCCUGUAGUGAUAGCCAACUGCAGCAUCCCUAGAGACGCAUGUCCACGGAGUCAUCCGGAAAAACACACUGGGGACAAGGGGCUUUUCAGAGGAGACAGUGCUGGAGCUUGGCGGUACCCACACUGGAUUGUCUGGUUUUCCUCCAGCAGCAUUUGGUCCCGAGGCUGCCCCGCGGCAGAGGAGUGGGGGCAGGGAGAGCCGAGACACCAAAGCUUGAAGGGCAGCUGAAUAGGAAGCAGCUUACAGCAUGUGGGCUCAAUUUUCCUCAAAAAGCUCAUAAUAUAACUGUCAAAAAUGGCACUAUGAACCCCAAUUGUAAGGUAAUUAUGUUCAGUCCCAAAUUCAACACAAUAAACGUUAUUUGCUCGCAAGCCCUAGCAACCAUCUCAUAAGGGGGAGAAAAAUACUGUACAAAAAACAAAAUGUAAACUCACAAGGCAGUAAUAAAACAGGCACACAACUAUUCAUUUCAAGUCUAUUUUGAAAAGCCUUUGAUAAUACCAGUAAUUCCCCAUAAAGCUCAUAGUCUCCUGCCACAGUUCCCUGCUGGAGAUAGAAAAAGGUUUUGCUGUUCUACAGUCAUUCCAUUUAAGGAGAUAAAGUCCACUUUCUUUCCCAAUUUUAAAUGUUUUUCAUUCUUAAAAAAAAGUUAAAUCCCUAACCACCUCUAUCCAGCUAAGCCUACCACCUAGGCAGGGCUCAGGGGCAGUAUCCAUGUGACUACUUCUUGCUUUGCACAACAAAAUUCAUUCAGUGGUCUUAACAAGGUGCUUAAAUGGAGUCCAAGAGCCUUGUCCACAAGGUACUGAAACGUUCCCCAAAAGGUAGAAAAUUCAACCAACCGUCUGCCCAUUUCUAAAUAUUCUGAUGCUUCUGAGCACGCAGGCCAGGCGGUCUCCCUUUUACAUCCUGGCUGACACGAGGGAGGCUGAGCAACUCCUCCGGGCACCGCUGGCAGGUGUACCUACAACAGAGGAAGGAAGGGGUAGGGGCUUGAGAUACACCUUUGGUUGUAAGAACAGAAACCUACUUAGACAAGUAAGAGGGUGAUGGUUAUAUCCUCUCAUGGACCCUGAGGAAAAGCUGAGCAGUCGGGCCUUGGGGAGAGCGGGAACCAGCAGCAAUUUUGGUGGGGGAGUGAAGUGGCAGGGAAAGGACAGGCAGGGCCGUGUACAGGGACAGAGGCCCCUAGAAGGGACUGGGCAUGUGGGUAAUUAGUCCCUUUAAUACAGGAAGACAGAAAGGAAAAGAAAGAAGAACAGAUGGUGGGGGAUGAAGUAAAAUAAUAGGAACCAAAGUGAAAAGGAAGAUAAGCAUUAACUGAGGAGUGAAGAAAUGUUAUCAACAAAAGUUUCAGCCAGCAGUCAGCAGCUCCCUGGUGCUGAAGGUCAGCCCGUCCCCUUCAAUCAAUCAACUAAAGCUUAGACUCUGCCUACUGUCCGAGCCCCUUCAUGGACAUGCAUGUACCCACAGCUUAAGAGUCCCCUAAUUUUGUUGUUUGGAGAGACACUUCUUUGGGAAACAACCCCAGUGUUCUUAUUUGCUGCAAGUAAUAAUAAACCCUUCGUUCUCCCGGGGCGGGGGUGGGGGGAUCAGCUGUCCCUAAUGUAGAACCAGCCUGUGUAGUACUGCAAAUACAAAGCCCUUCUAAUUUACCCACGUUGGUCAUUCUGAGUUACAUGAUUUAUAUUCUGAUUUUACGGACUAACUGUAAAGAGAGAAAGUUGUAUUCAUUGAAAGGAUGUGUAUGAUCUCGAAGAAGUCCA